UCUUGCACUGCUACUCCCCAUCUCCUUAGUUUUCCCUUUUCUCUUUGCCUUCCCUCCUCCUCUCUCCUCUCUCUUUCUCUUUCCUUUCUUUCCCCUCCUUCCUCCCUUCACCAUCCUUGUACCCCUUCCCCUUCUUUACGCAACCAGAUCUUAUCCUCUUAACCAGAUUUGGACAAUGCGAUUUCUUUUCUUUCCUCCCCCAUCCUUUUCCCUUCCUCCCCUCCCCUCCCCUCCUCUUUCCCUACCUCCUUUCUCUCUAGCCUCCUCUCCAACCUCCCAGUAACUAGAUUGGUCCUAAAGACAGAAGGGAGAGGAGGAGAAGAGAGAAAGAAAGGGGAAGAGAGAAGAAGAAUAAAAGGAAAGAGAGAAAAAAAGGAAAAGAAGAAGGGGAUAGUAGCAACAGAAGGUGGGAAGUAAUGGCAAGAGUGGUGGUAGGGGAAAAAAGGAUGAUAUUUUAUUUUUAUUUAUUUAUCUUUUUAUAGAUAUAAGGUAAGUUGUAUUUAGGAAAUUUUGUGUUAUUAGG
Molecule: long non-coding RNA, 523 nt
Filed under: Coffea arabica (coffee)
Lineage: Eukaryota; Viridiplantae; Streptophyta; Magnoliopsida; Gentianales; Rubiaceae
Description: long non-coding RNA (CARA_LNC003641)
Source: RNAcentral